CUCCAAGUGCGCGCACUUAGUGUGUGCUUUUUUCGACUAUUAAUCGGUUGUGGAAUAAGGGCUGGGAAAGACCGGUGCCAGCCGCCGCGGUAAUACCGGCAGCUCAAGUGGUCGUCGCUUUUAUUGGGCCUAAAACGUCCGUAGCCUGUUUGGUAAAUCUGUGGGUAAAUCAACCAGCUUAACUGGUUGAAUUCUGCAGAGACUGCCAGACUAGGGACCGGGAGAGGUGUGGGGUACUCUAGGGGUAGGGGUAAAAUCCUGUCAUCCUUAGAGGACCACCAGUUGCGAAGGCGCCACACUGGAACGGAUCCGACGGUCAGGGACGAAGCCUAGGGGCACGAACCGGAUUAGAUACCCGGGUAGUCCUAGGUGUAAACGCUGUGAACUUGGUGUCGGGAAUCCGUCAUGGGUCCCCGGUGCCGGAGUGAAGAUGUUAAGUUCACUGCCUGGGGAGUACGGUCGCAAGGCUGAAACUUAAAGGAAUUGGCGGGGGAGCACUGCAACGGGAGGAGCGUGCGGUUUAAUUGGAUUCAACGCCGGAAAACUCACCAGGGCCGACUGUUAUAUGAAGACCAGUGUGACGAACUUGUCGGAUUUCAGAGAGGAGUGCAUGGGCCAGGCGAUUCAGCACACUGC
Molecule: ribosomal RNA, 636 nt
Filed under: uncultured Candidatus Poseidoniales archaeon
Lineage: Archaea; Methanobacteriati; Thermoplasmatota; Candidatus Poseidoniia; Candidatus Poseidoniales
Description: bacterial SSU rRNA
Rfam family: Archaeal small subunit ribosomal RNA
Source: RNAcentral